UAGCAUUGCUUCUUUCCCACUGUUCAUGGAGUUCCUCUCUGUAUGACUCCUUGUUGCAAGAUCUAGUGACAAAACCAUACUUUCUCUUCCCUAAGAGAGCAAUUCGCAUAGAUCGACUCCAAAGACUAUAGUUUUCUGAACCAGUUAAUUUGAUUGGAACGAGUACAGUGCUUGAACUAUCCAAAGAACCAAUGAAGAGUGGAUCACUUUGAUCAAUUUUAGGUGCCAUGAAUGAAGAAAUUAAACUGCAAAAUCGACCAAACUUACAGAGAUGAAAGAACAAAAAACAGAGAAUAUACAGAGGUCUUAAGAAUUCUCUGAGAAUAUGAGGAAAAAGGAUCAAAAUACUCUCAGUAUUGAGAUCGUGUAUCUGAUACCAUGUGAAAUUCAAGCAUUACAGCUUGAUAAUCCAUGAACAAGGAAGAAGAAAGGAGAGAGUGUAGCUGGGAAUUUUAUUCUUCAUCAUCUGUACAUUACAACAUUGCAG
This 487-nucleotide long non-coding RNA is filed under the name Capsicum annuum. Its description in RNAcentral is "long non-coding RNA (CANN_LNC022501)". Lineage: Eukaryota; Viridiplantae; Streptophyta; Magnoliopsida; Solanales; Solanaceae. The record is from RNAcentral.